Molecule: ribosomal RNA, 1068 nt
Filed under: Triticum aestivum (bread wheat)
Lineage: Eukaryota; Viridiplantae; Streptophyta; Magnoliopsida; Poales; Poaceae
Description: partial small subunit ribosomal RNA
Source: RNAcentral
AUGGAGGACGAUAUGCUAACAUGCAAUUCAGUGGAAAGCCCUGGUCCUCCAUUCCUUGACAAUGCAGCUUCUUCAGUGGCAACUUCCUUGCGCCGUUGUGCGAAUGAUAAACUUCCUGUAUCUGACAAUAGGGAUACCACAGUAUCUAGAUGGAGAAAACAUUGUCCUACCCCAAUCGAAAAUGACAAUAUCUUUGAGAUUGAAACGCACUGCAAGGAUCCAGAACUGUGUUCAACUCUUGCUUGUGACAUUUACAAACACUUGCGUGAAGCUGAGGCCAAGAAAAGGCCUUCACCAGAUUUUCUGGAAACCACUCAGAAGGAUAUUGACACAAGCAUGAGGGCAGUACUUAUAGACUGGCUUGUGGAAGUGAGCAUUUCUAGAAAAAAGGUCACAGAAGAAUAUCGUCUUGUUCCUGAAACCUUAUACCUCACAGUCAGUUAUAUUGAUCGGUAUCUUUCUAGCAAAGAGAUCAAUCGAGAUAAGCUGCAGUUACUUGGUAUCGCCUGCUUGCUUAUAGCUGCUAAGUAUGAAGAGAUAUGUCCACCCCAAGUAGAAGAGCUCUGCUAUAUUACCGACAAUACAUACAUAAAGGAUGAGGUUCUGCGAAUGGAAGCUUCUAUCCUGGGUUGCUUGAUGUUUGAGAUGACUGCACCUACAGAAAAAUGUUUUUUGAGGAGAUUUCUGCAUGCUGCUCAACUAUGUCAUGAGGGCCCAGCUUUGCAUCUUGAGUUCCUAGCUAGCUACAUUACUGAGUUGUCACUUCUGGAGUACAGCUUACUUUGCCAUGUACCUUCACUGAUAGCUGCCUCUUCAAUUUUCUUGGCGAAUUUUAUCCUUAAGCCAACAAAGAAUCCUUGGAAUACCACUCUUUCCUAUCACACACAAUACAAACCAUCCACAUUACGCGAUUGUGUAAAGGUACUACACCGGCUUUUCCGUGUUGGCCUUGGAAGCAACCUCCCUGCAAUUAGAGAAAAGUACAGCCAACACAAGUACAAAUUUGUAGCGAAGAAGUACUGCCGGCCAUCGAUUCCAGCCGACUUCUUCCAAGAUGCUAGCAGUUAG